This 472-nucleotide ribosomal RNA is filed under the name uncultured bacterium. RNAcentral describes it as "partial 16S ribosomal RNA". It matches the Rfam family "Bacterial small subunit ribosomal RNA", at positions 28 to 523 of the family's 1533-position model. The record is from RNAcentral.
GACGAACGCUGGCGGCGUGCUUAACACAUGCAAGUCGAACGGAAAGGCCCCUUCGGGGGUACUCGAGUGGCGAACGGGUGAGUAACACGUGGGUGACCUGCCCUGCACUUCGGGAUAGGCCUGGGAAACUGGGUCUAAUACCGGAUAGGACCGCAUCGUGAGGAUGUGGUGGAAAGUUUUUUCGGUGCAGGAUGGGCCCGCGGCCUAUCAGCUUGUUGGGGGGGUAAUGGCCUACCAAGGCGGCGACGGGUAGCCGGCCUGAGAGGGUGGACGGCCACAUUGGGACUGAGACACGGCCCAGACUCCUACGGGAGGCAGCAGUGGGGAAUAUUGCACAAUGGGCGCAAGCCUGAUGCAGCGACGCCGCGUGGAGGAUGACACAUUUCGGUGCGUAAACUCCUUUUAUAUGAGAAGAUAAUGACGGUAUUAUAUGAAUAAGCACCGGCUAACUCCGUGCCAGCAGCCGCAGUAA